GCUAAACUCUACGACACGUAUUCUAUCUCCACGCCUCUCACAAAAUCUCACGUUCUCCCCCUAUCUUUUCCCAAUCUUGCUUCAUACAGUGUUCCAGAUUAACCUUUUUCCUAAAAAUCGCUGAGUUUUGUCCUUCCUACUUCCUAUUUCUGUUUGCCAGUGUGUAUCGCAAUGGUCAUGUCUUUACAGGUGAAGCAUAAAUCGAUCUCUUGAAAUUGAUAAACCCUAAAUCGGUAAUUGGUAUGUUGAUAGCUAUCCUUAUUUGCUUCAAGUUUGCGUUACCGGGAUGUGCUUUUCAAGUUACGUUAGUUGCUUUCUUAUGAGAAUCUGCUGGAUUAGAAAAAAAAACCAGAAAUAAUGUUCUCCUUUUGAUAUUUCUCUUAUACAAUUAAAAAAUCUUGAAUCCAAA
Long non-coding RNA from Helianthus annuus (common sunflower), 409 nucleotides. RefSeq lists it as uncharacterized. NCBI's taxonomy places the organism in Eukaryota, Viridiplantae, Streptophyta, Magnoliopsida, Asterales, Asteraceae. The record is from RefSeq and is a predicted model, not a curated record. The transcript has 2 exons.